RNAcentral lists this long non-coding RNA (233 nucleotides) under Malus domestica (apple). Its description in RNAcentral is "long non-coding RNA (MDOM_LNC010672)". Lineage: Eukaryota; Viridiplantae; Streptophyta; Magnoliopsida; Rosales; Rosaceae. The record is from RNAcentral.
GUGCAUAUGACAGGUGUUGACGCGGCUGAAAAAGACUGGCGCCUCUUCGAUAUCUGGGAUCGGCGCUUCGACAAAUUACCCAUGAUUUCCGCAAAGCUGAGUUUGCGUGUGAUGGGUGCUGACAAGUCUGGAAAGGAAGAUCGCCCGUGGUUUCCGAGUAAGCCCAGCUUUUGAGAAAGCUAGCACUUCUUCGAUUUUUGAAUUGGCCUCUUCGAAUUCUGAGCUCGCCUCUU